UUACUACCGCUUAGUAUGUCAGUUGUCGUCGUCAUGAAUUCUAGUCUUGAAAUGAACAUUUAAUGACUUAUGAUUGAUGGGAGAUUGUGCGGGCUGUUUUCGGCCAAUUGGGAGAAAAAUUGUGAAUUGUUUAGAAUGUCCUAGAAUAUUGUGGUAAAGACUCGGGUUGAUAAUUAAAUGUGUGAGCGAUGUGGUGGCUUGAAUGUGAGCCGUUGAAUUAAAUAUUUGGAAAGUUGUCGAAUGAUGAAAAAGAGAGCUAUUAAUGUUAUUUUGCCUUCCGAAUUUAUUAUUGAUGGUUCUAGAUUGGUUAUUGUGGUUGUUGUUGUUGAUUUUAAGCGAGAUAAAUUCUCGGGAUGGCCUAUUUACAGGGGAAGUGCUGCCGAAUUUUCUGUAGAAUUUAGAGUUAGUUGGAAUGAAAAAUUUCUUAAUAUGCCUAUGGUUAAUAUUGGAUAUUCAUUGGCACAUUUUGUAGACCUUGGGGAGCCCGAGGCGUAAAUUUGGAGUAGCUUUAGAUUGGCUAGCUUGGAAGUGCGUUCGAGGUACAGACGCACAGUUCGGUGAUCCCCUAGUGUAGGAUACCCCUUUUGCUGUUGGAGUGCUCCCCUCCCUUCAGAGCGCAUCUUUUGGUAUACACUUUUGUUCGCUAUGUUGUAUAUAUUCGUUCAUGGGUACGGCGGGGCCCUGUUCCGCCAUAUGAUUCGUUUGGUCUGUUUAGAGGUCUGUAGACUUAUUUGUGGGUGUGUGUGCCUACUUCUGCUCAGUUGUGUUUAUAUGAUUCUACCCGUUGUGGCAGCCUCGUCGGCAUGCAUUUUGUAUAUGUUUAUGGCAGCCUUGUCGGCUCGAACAUGUAUAUGUUGUUCUGUUGGCCCUGUGUGGCCUUUGUGGUA
Lycium barbarum (goji berry) is the source of this 887-nucleotide long non-coding RNA. RefSeq lists it as uncharacterized. The record is from RefSeq and is a predicted model, not a curated record. Lineage: Eukaryota; Viridiplantae; Streptophyta; Magnoliopsida; Solanales; Solanaceae. The transcript has 2 exons.